Anser brachyrhynchus (Pink-footed goose) is the source of this 1274-nucleotide long non-coding RNA. Lineage: Eukaryota; Metazoa; Chordata; Aves; Anseriformes; Anatidae. The record is from Ensembl.
UUGCAAUAUCCGCAAGCUUCAACUCUCCGCCACCUUGGUGCCUACAGAAGACAGAAAGCGGCUGGCAGGGAGUUUUAAGAACCUAUAGACGUACGCAAACGCCUUAGCUCAGAGUCACGUUUCCCUCCGAGUUCUUACGUGAUCCCAAUGAACGAGAGGGGUUACCGGCUGCCGCCGCGGAACGUGACCGCCGCCCCCCGCACGCCGGAGCGGGACGCCAAGUUCCCGGGGAGAGCCCGGCCCCGCUCCCCGCCCGCACCCGGGGCCGAGCGACACGGGGCGGCGCGGAGCCGGCAGAUGCUGCCCUAAGACUGGUACAGCUGGUACUUUCCUGCCUCGGCCGUCCUGGGGGCAAGGUGCAAGAAGGCACGUCGGGUGGUCUCCAGCCGACCUGCCCAGAAGAGGACUGCUGACCCCCUUCGUCAGCAUCACACGCUGCCCGUGUGGCGUGCAACGGGCAGAGCUGCUCCCAAAGGCUGCUGCUGCUGUAAGGCUGCACCCAGUAGAUUACCCCGUCACUUGUCACCCAAGACCCAUCCUUAAGUAUUGAUCUUCAGUCAGGGAACUGAAAUUUCCACCGUUGGAAGCACUGAUAGUGCUAGUACCAGUUGUGAACACCACUUUUUAAAUGCCACUUAAAACACCCCACAAGUGUUUUAACAAAGGGGGACUGCAUCACACCAUGCCUUCUCCCAACCUUCUAAGCCAACAGCUGCCACCUCUCCCUCCGAGGAGUAGAACAACUAUGGUGGGGUCUGCUUUGGACAGAAAGUCAUACAAGUACACAUCUGAGCCCUAAAAGUUUCUGACUUCAGGGAGUCCUCAGCACUUGUGGGUAGAGACAACUCAGUAAGGAAGUAGUAUCAAUUAAAGCAAACAAACAAUUCUACAUACUUCAAAACUCAAGAAAUACAGUCUUUCAUCCAGAAAGUCAUUCUAGCUGUAUCAUUUGUAAGAAAGUAGUCUAUCUGUUCCUCACCUACUUCUGAGAUCAUUAACUUCCAGGUAUUUUCACUUUCUGAGGAAGUUCUCAGUCAUUAAGGAUGUCCAGAUGGAAACUUCGCUGGAUCACAGUAUUGUAAUGACACAGUAACAUUAAACUUACUAAAAACUUCCACAGAAGGCUUUCUAAGAGGGACCCACAGCAAGAACAGGACACGCAGUCAAUUCAGGCCUGUUCCAGAGCAAAUGGAUGAGCUUUGCCAAGGAUACUAAGGCAGGGUCAUGCUGACAGAACAACACGCAAGAAUACUCAUUUAUAGAGCUAUCUCAAA